Molecule: ribosomal RNA, 580 nt
Filed under: uncultured bacterium
Lineage: Bacteria
Description: bacterial SSU rRNA
Rfam family: Bacterial small subunit ribosomal RNA
Source: RNAcentral
GAGUUUGAUCCUGGCUCAGGAUGAACGCUGGCGGCGUGCCUAACACAUGCAAGUCGAGCGGAGCACAUACUUGGAAUCCUUCGGGAGGAAGAGGAUGUGGCUUAGCGGCGGACGGGUGAGUAACGCGUGGACAACCUGCCCUAUGCAGGGGGAUAACAUCCGGAAACGGGUGCUAAUACCGCAUAAGCGCACAGUACCGCAUGGUACAGUGUGAAAAGCUGAGGCGGCAUAGGAUGGGUCCGCGUUGGAUUAGGCAGUUGGCGGGGUAACGGCCCACCAAACCGACGAUCCAUAGCCGGCCUGAGAGGGUGGACGGCCACAUUGGGACUGAGACACGGCCCAGACUCCUACGGGAGGCAGCAGUGGGGAAUAUUGCACAAUGGGGGGAACCCUGAUGCAGCGACGCCGCGUGGGUGAGGAAGUACUUCGGUAUGUAAAGCCCUAUCAGCAGGGAAGAAAAUGACGGUACCUGACUAAGAAGCCCCGGCUAACUACGUGCCAGCAGCCGCGGUAAUACGUAGGGGGCAAGCGUUAUCCGGAUUUACUGGGUGUAAAGGGAGCGUAGACGGUGAUGCAAGUC